This is an RNA transcript of Trichomycterus rosablanca, 3086 nucleotides long. It is a transcript of the gene named transcriptional adaptor 3 (NGG1 homolog, yeast)-like, with no coding region annotated. NCBI's taxonomy places the organism in Eukaryota, Metazoa, Chordata, Actinopteri, Siluriformes, Trichomycteridae. The record is from RefSeq and is a predicted model, not a curated record. The transcript has 9 exons.
UAAAAGGGCAAAUAGUGGAGGAGGGAAAAUGUAAGAAUGCAAAAUUUAAUGGAAAUAGAAAACAAAUGGGGGCAUAAAUGAAAAUAAAAUGAAACAUGAAAAAUAGGAGAGCAGCUGGAAGAAGAAAACAAGAGUUUAGGGUUACAAAGGAUGAAGGAAAGUGAAUUUGGAAUUAAAAAAAGGAACAAAGGGAAUUGAUGACAGGAAAAGAAAGGAACCAAUCACAAAAGACAGUAAUAACAUAUUGAUUAACUGGGUUUAAAUGUUAAAAAAUAAAAUAAGGCAGCACAAAAGAAAAUACAAAAGAAAAUAGAUAAGGAAAUGAAAGAUGUAUAAAAGGAAGAAACUAAAAAUAUCGGGGGAUUUAGGAAGUAAAAUGAUACGAACAAUCCCAAGAUAGCAAGAAAAAACUAAAGAUAUUGUUCCCUUUAUUUAGAUAACUGGUAGUAUUUUCAUACAGACUGUUUUCAGUUUUUCCUGUGCUAAAUUCUUUGGUUGUUUUCAUUCCUCACAGAUCAAAUUCCCUCUAAUUAAGAAGAUGAGUGAACUUAAGGACUGUCCACCACUUAAGUACUAUGACUUUAAACCCGUGGAGCAUGUAAAGGUCUGUCCGCGCUACACUGCAGUUUUGGGCCGAUCAGAGGACGAUGGCAUCGGCAUCGAAGAGCUGGACACGCUGCAGCUGGAGCUGGAGACACUGCUUUCCUCAGCCAGUCGACGUCUCAGGGCUCUGGAAGAACAGAGACAGAUUCUGACAGACUGGCAGGACAAAAAAGGUGACAAGCGCUUUCUAAAACCAGUCAAAGAGACGGUCGAUCCCGCGGCUUCCGCUCGCCCCUCCAAACCCAAGAAGCAGAAGCAGGAUGGGAAGGCGGGUCACGUGCCCGGUCCUGGUCCAGGCAGGCCCAAAUCUAAAAACCUGCAACCCAAAAUUCAGGAGUAUGAAUUCAGUGAAGACCCGCAGGACAUACCCCGCACCCCAAAGAACGACACACCUAACAGAUUCUGGGCCUCGGUGGAACCAUACUGUGCAGACAUAACCAAUGAAGAGAUCAGACUUCUCGAAGAGCUCCUUAAACCGCCUGAUGAUGAAGCGGAGUACUACAAGAUUCCUGCUUUGGGAAAGCACUACUCUCAGCGCUGGGCACAAGAAGACCUGCUGGAGGAGCAGAGAGAGGGAGCACGAGCCAAUGAUAAGAAAAAAAGCAUCCUGGGUCCAUUAUCUGAGAUAGAUGCCAAAGAUGUUGACACCCUGUUAAAGAAGUCUGAAUCUCAGCACGAGCCUCCAGAAGACGGAUGCCCGUUCGGCCCUCUCACACAGCGUCUGCUUCAAGCUCUGGUGGAGGAGAAUAUCAUAUCCCCUAUGGAGGAUUCCCCCAUUCCAGACAUGCCAGUGAAGGAUGAUGGGGCCGGGACGUCACCUCGCAGCCAGGGAAAAGCUUUCAGCGUUCCUCACACACGCUCUUUGGAGGCUCGGAUCAAGGAGGAGCUGAUAGCUCAGGGUCUGCUCGAUUCUGACGAGAGACAAGGCGCAGGGGGCGACUCGGAAGACGAGGUGCUUGCUGAACUGCAGAAGAGGCAGGCCGAGCUCAAAGCUCUGAGCUCUCACAACCUGAAACGAAAACAAGAGCUGCUCCGGUUAGCGCGGGACGAGAUGAGGAAACAGGACCUCCGUCAGCGCGUCCGAGUGGCCGACAACGAGGUGAUGGAGGCCUUCCGGCGCAUCAUGGCUGCCAGGCAAAAGAAACGCACCCCGACGAAGAAAGAGAAGGAUCAGGCAUGGAAAGCGCUGAAGGAGCGAGAGAGCAUUCUUAAACUGCUGGAUGGAUAAAAAGCUGUGAUUGGCGGUGUGAUGUGGUUCGUCCUGGGGACCAGAGUUUAAAAGAAACAGAGCUGCCAGUUCACUAGUGUCCAGACAACCAGCAGUACAAAACCGUGGCAGGGUCUAGACGGAUUACUGUAGUUUAUUAUUGCCUGAAUGUAAUGUAAAGAUAAUACGGAAGUUCUCUGCAUUUCCACCAGUUUAAAGCUGAACCAAGCGGAACACCUUGAACAGGAGAGCCAAAGCAUUACAGGGCAUCACUCAUUAACCCUUUAACAUCUAGGUGCAAUUUAAAGAAGACAGUUAGUAUUGGGGGCAUGUGCUUGGGUGGUGUAACGGUAAAUUUCACUAGCCUACUACCUAUGGGAUCCUCGGUGGUGCUAUGGCUGGUCGGGCGUCUACAUACAGACAUGAUCGGAUAUGUGUAAGGAUGGAUCGGUGUCUGGUCCAGGGUGUGUUACCGCAUUACCCAGUGAUUGCGGGGGAAUUGGACCCAUCCUGAAGCUGACCACGAUAUCCAGGUGAAUAUGAGUAAAUGAAUGUGUGAGUGUGAUGCCCUGCGAUGGAUGGGUGCCCUGUCCAGGGAGUAUUCUUGCCUUGUUUCUUGUUUCCGGUUUCAGGUGACGUCAACGCCAUUGUGACCUUGACCAGUAUAAAGUGAUAAUUGAAUAUUAAUGGAUAAAUAAAUGUGUGAAAGGAUGGAAACCAAAUAAUUACCUGUCUGCACUCUGAGCACUUUUUUAAGUGGGGAAGUGCUGGACAGGUUUAGAUUUGACACUGGCACCUUGGUACAGCCACGUAAAAGGGAUUUAUUUUUCACACUGAGCAGGACUGUGGAGAAUCAUGACUUAGCUUCAUUAUGAGAAGUGAAGUUGCCAUCAUAUACACAUACGGACACAUUUUGAAAUACUUGUUUCUUUCUCUUGAUUUUGUCCUGUUGAAGCUUCAUCGAACAACCCGGAGCAUAACUUUCACAUACAUUCUACUGUCAGACACCCAGUGAUUACAGAUCAAGCGAAGAAUGGGUGUCUGUUCUAUUUUCUGUGGUAUUUCAAUGUGAAAAGAAGAAGGGUGUGAAUAUAACAGUUUACAAAGAACACUAUUAAAAUUGCUGUCAGGUGAUAGUAGUUUAUUUCAUGCAUGAUGAACAUUGUUUCGUUUCGACUAGACAACAUGGACGAUUCAGUAUGUUUUGUUUUGUUUUUGGUACAUAAUAUCAUGAUUUUGUAAAUAAAGUGGUUUGGUUUUGGCCUUUUAUAAAUGA